RNAcentral lists this ribosomal RNA (520 nucleotides) under uncultured prokaryote. Its description in RNAcentral is "bacterial SSU rRNA". It matches the Rfam family "Bacterial small subunit ribosomal RNA", at positions 379 to 905 of the family's 1533-position model. The record is from RNAcentral.
GGCUCCUACUUGCUUAAGCCCGGGGGUGAAAACUAAAACGCUUGGGGGGGGGGCGACUUUUCCCAUUAUAAUAGAAAGGGCCCCUGACUGUCCCCUAACAAUCAGCCCCGGCUAUCCACGUGCCACAAGCCUCAUCCAUACGUAUGGGGCGAACGUUAAUCGUAAUUACUGGGCCUAAAGCGUGCUCAAGCGGCCCGGUAAAACCGAUGUGAAAUCCCCGAGCUCGACCUGGUAAAGGCCUUCGUGACUGAACAGCUUGACUACGGUAGAGGGGAAUUGAAUUCCUCUUGUAACAAACACCUGCGUAGAUAUCUGGAGGAACACCGAUGGCUAACGCUGACCCCCGAAACCGUACUGACGCACAUGCACUAAAUCCUCGGGAACACCCAGGAUUAAAUACCCUGGUAUACCACUCCCUAAACUAUAUCCACUCGUUGCCGAGGCUAUAGCUACUCAUUACCCAACUUGACACUUCAAGCGCACCGCCUGAAGACAACGGACUUAAAGGUUAAAACUCAAA